RNAcentral lists this ribosomal RNA (504 nucleotides) under uncultured bacterium. RNAcentral describes it as "partial 16S ribosomal RNA". It matches the Rfam family "Bacterial small subunit ribosomal RNA", at positions 29 to 507 of the family's 1533-position model. The record is from RNAcentral.
ACGCACGCUGGCGGCGUGCCUCAUCCCUGCAAGUAGAACGCACAGUUUAUACCGUAGCUUGCUACACCAUAGACUGUGAGUUGCGAACGGGUGAGUAACGCGUAGGUAACCUGCCUGGUAGCGGGGGAUAACUAUUGGAAACGAUAGCUAAUACCGCAUAAUAUUGGUUAUUGCAUGAUAAUUGAUUGAAAGAUGCUAUUGCAUCACUACCAGAUGGACCUGCGUUGUAUUAGCUAGUAGGUGAGGUAACGGCUCACCUAGGCGACGAUACAUAGCCGACCUGAGAGGGUGAUCGGCCACACUGGGACUGAGACACGGCCCAGACUCCUACGGGAGGCAGCAGUAGGGAAUCUUCGGCAAUGGACGAAAGUCUGACCGAGCAACGCCGCGUGAGUGAAGAAGGGUUUCGGAUCGUAAAGCUCUGUUGUAAGAGAAGAACGGGUGUGAGAGUGGAAAGUUCACACUGUGACGGUAUCUUACCAGAAAGGGACGGCUAACUACGUG